Molecule: ribosomal RNA, 253 nt
Filed under: uncultured bacterium
Lineage: Bacteria
Description: partial 16S ribosomal RNA
Rfam family: Bacterial small subunit ribosomal RNA
Source: RNAcentral
GACAGAGGGUACAAACGUUGCUCGGAAUCACUGGGCGUAAAGGGCGUGUAGGCGGGCAGAUAAGUCGGGCGUGAAAUCCCCAGGCUCAACCUGGGAACUGCACUCGAAACUGUUUGUCUUGAGUAUCGGAGAGGAAAGCGGAAUACCUGGUGUAGAGGUGAAAUUCGUAGAUAUCAGGUGGAACACCAGUGGCGAAGGCGGCUUUCUGGACGAUAACUGACGCUGAGACGCGAAAGCGUGGGGAGCAAACAGG